CCAACAGGGAUUGCCUUAGUAACGGCGAGUGAAGCGGCAAUAGCUCAAAUUUGAAAGCUGGCGUCUUCGACGUCCGCGUUGUAAUUUGUAGAGGAUGCUUCGGCGAAGACUCCUGCCUAAGUCCCCUGGAACGGGGCGUCAUAGAGGGUGAGAAUCCCGUAUGUGGCGGGCAGUCUAAGCCAUGUGAAGCUCCUUCGACGAGUCGAGUUGUUUGGGAAUGCAGCUCUAAAUGGGAGGUAAAUUUCUUCUAAAGCUAAAUAUUGGCCAGAGACCGAUAGCGCACAAGUAGAGUGAUCGAAAGAUGAAAAGCACUUUGGAAAGAGAGUUAAAAAGUACGUGAAAUUGUUGAAAGGGAAGCGCUUGCAACCAGACUCGCUCGUAGUUGCUCAGCCGGCCUCUUGGCCGGUGUACUCUUCUACGAUCGGGCCAGCAUCAGUUCGGGCGGCAGGAUAAAGGUGUCGGGAAUGUAGCACCCUUCGGGGUGUGUUAUAGCCCGGCGCGGAAUGCUGCCAGCCUGGACUGAGGAUCUCGCUUCGGCAAGGAUGCUGGCGUAAUGGUUGUAAGCGGCCCGUCUUGAAACACGGACCAAGGAGUCUAACAUCUAUGCGAGUGUUUGGGUGUCAAACCCAUGCGCGUAAUGAAAGUGAACGGAGGUGGGAACCCCUCACGGGGUGCACCAUCGACCGAUCCUGAUGUCUUCGGAUGGAUUUGAGUAAGAGCAUAGCUGUUGGGACCCGAAAGAUGGUGAACUAUGCCUGAAUAGGGUGAAGCCAGAGGAAACUCUGGUGGAGGCUCGCAGCGGUUCUGACGUGCAAAUCGAUCGUCAAAUUUGGGUAUAGGGGCGAAAGACUAAUCGAACC
RNAcentral lists this ribosomal RNA (860 nucleotides) under Phyllosticta capitalensis. RNAcentral's name for it is "partial large subunit ribosomal RNA". It matches the Rfam family "Eukaryotic large subunit ribosomal RNA", at positions 65 to 941 of the family's 3401-position model. The record is from RNAcentral. Lineage: Eukaryota; Fungi; Ascomycota; Dothideomycetes; Botryosphaeriales; Phyllostictaceae.